Molecule: ribosomal RNA, 244 nt
Filed under: uncultured bacterium
Lineage: Bacteria
Description: partial 16S ribosomal RNA
Rfam family: Bacterial small subunit ribosomal RNA
Source: RNAcentral
CACCUUCGGGUGUGAGUAGAGUGGCGCACGGGUGAGUAACGCGUGGGAACCUACCGAGCAGUGGGGAAUAACCUUUGGAAACGAAGGCUAAUACCGCAUACGCCCUUUCGGGGGGAAAGAUUUAUCGCUGUUUGAUGGUCCCGCGUCUGAUUAGCUAGUUGGUAAGGUAACGGCUUACCAAGGCGACGAUCAGUAGCUGGUCUGAGAGGAUGAUCAGCCACACCGGAACUGAGACACGGUCCAG